UAAUGAAGGAAGCAUGGUAAUGUGUACAUAAAUUGAAUUGGGUUUCUAGGCCUGCCCUCUCUAAUACUAUUUGGUUUUGAUUUGAAGGUAUGGUUCUGCAACAAAACA
Small nucleolar RNA from Rhododendron vialii, 108 nucleotides. RefSeq annotates it as small nucleolar RNA snoR100. The record is from RefSeq and is a predicted model, not a curated record. NCBI's taxonomy places the organism in Eukaryota, Viridiplantae, Streptophyta, Magnoliopsida, Ericales, Ericaceae. The transcript has a single exon.